Molecule: ribosomal RNA, 972 nt
Filed under: uncultured eukaryote
Lineage: Eukaryota
Description: bacterial SSU rRNA
Rfam family: Eukaryotic small subunit ribosomal RNA
Source: RNAcentral
CAAGUCAAGAACGGUGGUAAUCGACGGUCAGUGGAACUGUAUACGACUCCACUAUAGGGCGAUUGGAUUUAGCGGCCGCGAUCGCCCUUGUGCCAGCAGCCGCGGUAAUUCCAGCUCCAAUAGCGUAUAUUAAAGUUGUUGUGGUUAAAAAGCUCGUAGUUGGAUCUCGGCGGACUGAGGGCGGUUUGCUUGCUAGUAUUACUGCCCUAUAGUCCGUAGUUUUGCCAGAGGUUUCGGGGUGCUCUUAAUCGAGUGUCCCGGGAUGCUGGCAGGUUUACUUUGAAAAAAUUAGAGUGCUCAAAGCAGGCUAUUACGUCUGAAUAUUCGUGCAUGGAAUGAUAGAAUAGGAAGUCGUUUCUAUUUUGUUGGUUUUCGGAAAUCGACUUAAUGACUAAUAGGGACAGUCGGGGGCAUUUGUAUUCAAACGACAGAGGUGAAAUUCUUGGACCGUUUGAAGACAAACUACUGCGAAAGCAUUUGCCAAGAAUGUUUUCAUUAAUCAAGAACGAAAGUUAAAGGUUCGAAGGCGAUUAGAUACCGCCCUAGUUUUAACCAUAAACGAUGCCAGCUAGCGAUCUGCGGACGUUUUUUUUGUAGACUCCGCAGGAAGCUUCCGGGAAACCAAAGCAUUUGGGUUCCAGGGGAAGUAUGGUUGCAAAGCUGAAACUUAAAGGAAUUGACGGAAGGGCACCACCAGGAGUGGAGCCUGUGGCUUAAUUUGACUCAACACGGGAAAUCUCACCAGGCCCGGACACUGGAAGGAUUGACAGAUUGAUAGCUCUUUCUUGAUUCGGUGGGUGGUGGUGCAUGGCCGUUCUUAGUUGGUGGAGUGAUUUGUCUGGUUAAUUCCGAUAACGAACGAGACUCUGUCCUGCUAAAUAGUGUCUGCUUCUCUUUUGAGCAGACAAUUCUUCUUAGAGGGACUGGCGACUCUUAGUCGCACGAGAUUGAGCAAUAACAGGUCUGUGAUGC